Molecule: ribosomal RNA, 254 nt
Filed under: uncultured bacterium
Lineage: Bacteria
Description: partial 16S ribosomal RNA
Rfam family: Bacterial small subunit ribosomal RNA
Source: RNAcentral
UACGUAGGGUGCGAGCGUUGUCCGGAAUUACUGGGCGUAAAGAGCUUGUAGGUGGUUUGUCGCGUUGUUCGUGAAAUCUCACGGCUUAACUGUGAGCGUGCGGGCGAUACGGGCAGACUAGAGUACUGCAGGGGAGACUGGAAUUCUCGGUGUAGCGGUGAAAUGCGUAGAUAUCGAGAGGAACACCUGCGGCGAAGGCGGGUUGCUGGGCUGACACUGACGCUGAUUGUGCGAAAGCUAGGGGAGCGAACGGG